GGAACCGUCAGUUGUUCAACAGGCACGUUACAGAAGAGGAAUCUGGGCCCAGAGAGGCAGACUGGAUUACUGCUGCUGGGAAUGAAAGAGAAUCAAGAAUUAAAGACAAUCCAGGCCAGUCUGUCGAGGCAGAGGGUAGAACACCAGUGUCUUUCAUCGGAGGAACUGAAGCAACGUUUCCCAAAUAUUCGGUUGCCCAGGGGAGAAGUGGGGCUGUUGGACAAUUCCGGAGGAGUUCUCUAUGCAUACAAGGCCCUCAGAGCCCUGCAGGAUGCAGUUCGACAGCUAGGAGGCAUAGUGCGUGAUGGAGAGAAGGUGGUGGAGAUAAACCCAGGGCUACUGGUCACGGUGAAAACCACCUCCAGGAGCUACCAAGCUAAGAGCUUGGUCAUCACAGCAGGUCCUUGGACCAACCAGCUCCUCCGUCCCCUGGGCAUUGAGCUGCCUCUCCAGGUAAGAGGAGCUGGAAGCCUGAGAGUUGGUGCUCAAGAGAAGCCUUGGAACCAGAUGGAGUCAAA
RNAcentral lists this small RNA (518 nucleotides) under Pongo abelii (Sumatran orangutan). RNAcentral describes it as "processed transcript". Lineage: Eukaryota; Metazoa; Chordata; Mammalia; Primates; Hominidae. The record is from RNAcentral.